Molecule: RNA transcript, 1833 nt
Organism: Hylaeus volcanicus
Lineage: Eukaryota; Metazoa; Arthropoda; Insecta; Hymenoptera; Colletidae
Exons: 11
Source: RefSeq, a predicted model, not a curated record
UAGUAGGAAUUAUCGUUCGUUAUUGAAUGGAGCAACAAAUGACUAGUUACCGUGAAUCGUCCUGUCAAAUUAUCCCAAGAAGUUUUCAUUUAACAGAAAAUGAAACUUAUUUAUUUGAUUUACUUUUAAAUUUUAAGAAGAACUCAGACGAACCUAUAGCAAAGACAGAGUUACGCGUUGUAGGUGGUUGGGUUCGUGACAAGUUACUUGGUCGCCCGUGUGAUGAUAUUGAUAUUGCUUUAAGUAAUGUCACUGGAAAGGUUUUUCUAGAAUAUUUUAAAAAAUGGCCUGGUUCCCAAAAUUUUAAUAUAGGCAAUUUCGGAGUCAUUAGACAAAAUCCUUUAAAAUCAAAGCAUUUAGAAACAUCAACGAUGACUUUUAAUAAUUUUUCACUCGAUUUUGUUAAUUUAAGAUCUGAAAAAUACACGGAAGACAGUCGUAUACCUUCGGAAAUGGAUUUCGGGACACCUCAAUCCGACGCUUAUCGACGAGAUUUUACUAUUAACAGUCUUUUUUAUUUUUUGGAUAAAGAUUAUGUGGAAGAUUGGACUGGCAGGGGCUUAUCUGAUCUUAAUGAAAAAAGAUUAUCGACACCUUUAGCUCCCCUUCAAACCUUUCUAGAUGAUCCAUUACGUUUACUUCGAGCGAUCAGAUUCGCUUCCACGUUAGGUUUUCAGUUUGAUGCGGAAUUACUUUACGCUUCUAAAAACUCUUCCGUUCGAGAAAAGCUAAGAAAUAAUAUAUCUUUAGAGAGAAUAGGAACAGAAUUAGAUAAAAUGUUAACAUAUGGAGACCCUGCUAAGUCUUUAUCAUUAAUCUGUAACGAUGUAUCAAUUGAUGAUAUUCUUUUUGAUUUCUCACCAACAAACCUAUCUUUUUUUGAAUGCAUUAGACAUGGUUUAAAAAUAGUAGAAAAAGUUUGUGCAAGUCUUACAGUUGUUGAAGAAGAUUCUUGUACAUUUGUCUUGGACUCAUUCUCCAAUAGUCUCAGUUUGAAAGUAUCACGAUACAUUCGAUGUUUUUUAGCAUACGCUGCAUUUUUUUAUCCGUUAUCAUUAAAAGAUUUUUCUCCUACUUAUUCAAAAGGAAAAAAGCAAAACUCAAAAGUUUUCAGUAUACUAAUGCAUCGUCUUAAAAAGAAAAAAAAAGAUAUUCACAGGUUGUUCACUCUUUAUAAGCAAUUUGAAUUUUGUUUUGAUAGAAUCCUAAAGCUACACGCAGCUGUGAAUUUUUGGACUAAUAUAUUAAAGGCAUGGACGGUAGACCCCUAUUCGAUGAAAUCUCUUGAUGCACCCUUACUGAAUGUUUCUGAAGAUUUUCUCAAUUGUCCUCAAGUUCAUAUAGGUCUUUUGCUACGAUGGGAGACUGAGAAAUAUUGGCAAGCAUCCCUUUUUUUAACAUUCAUUAUACAUGAAAUUUUUUGGAAAGAAAAUUAUCAAAGAGCUAUGCAAGAAAUUUAUACAAUGACUUUAUCAAUGGAUUCUCUUUCCAUUUUUUCACCUCCUAGACUUGAUGGAUUUGAGCUACAGAAGAAAUUGAAAAGGAAACCACAAUCAAUGAAUAUUGCAAAACUUCUUCAUUAUGAGACGCAAUUGUUGUUAAAAAAGCCGACCAUUACAACGGACGAGUUAUUGGAUACGUUAAAUACCUAUCAUGACACGUUGUAGUGUACCCCGAUGAGUUUGGCUGAACUGGAAAAAAAAAUUGUUUUUUUUGUGACCAUCAUGCGUCGUCGUCGUACAGACAAAACACGUUGACACUUUUUUUCUUAUUCGUCAGUUCAUAACGCGAAAACAAUUACUCAAAAUGAAAGCAUACUUUAAAGUCACAUAA